UAGUCCACGCCGUAAACGAUGUCAACUAGCCGUCUGUGACCUUGAGUCGUGGGUGGCGCAGCUAACGCACUAAGUUGACCGCCUGGGGAGUACGGCCGCAAGGUUAAAACUCAAAUGAAUUGACGGGGGCCCGCACAAGCGGUGGAGCAUGUGGUUUAAUUCGAUGCAACGCGAAGAACCUUACCAGGUCUUGACAUACAGCGAACUUUCCAGAGAUGGAUUGGUGCCUUCGGGAACGCUGAUACAGGUGCUGCAUGGCUGUCGUCAGCUCGUGUCGUGAGAUGUUGGGUUAAGUCCCGUAACGAGCGCAACCCUUGUCCUUAGUUGCCAGCACAUAAUGGUGGGAACUCUAGGGAGACUGCCGGUGACAAACCGGAGGGAAGGGUGGGGACGACGUCAAGUCAUCAUGGCCCUUACGACCUGGGGCUACACACGUGCUACAAU
RNAcentral lists this ribosomal RNA (444 nucleotides) under uncultured bacterium. RNAcentral's name for it is "bacterial SSU rRNA". It matches the Rfam family "Bacterial small subunit ribosomal RNA", at positions 791 to 1231 of the family's 1533-position model. The record is from RNAcentral.